GACGAACGCUGGCGGCGUGCUUAACACAUGCAAGUCGAACGGAAAGGCCCUGCUUUUGUGGGGUGCUCGAGUGGCGAACGGGUGAGUAACACGUGAGUAACCUGCCCUUGACUUUGGGAUAACUUCAGGAAACUGGGGCUAAUACCGGAUAGGAGCUCCUGCUGCAUGGUGGGGGUUGGAAAGUUUCGGCGGUUGGGGAUGGACUCGCGGCUUAUCAGCUUGUUGGUGGGGUAGUGGCUUACCAAGGCUUUGACGGGUAGCCGGCCUGAGAGGGUGACCGGCCACAUUGGGACUGAGAUACGGCCCAGACUCCUACGGGAGGCAGCAGUGGGGAAUAUUGCACAAUGGGCGGAAGCCUGAUGCAGCAACGCCGCGUGCGGGAUGACGGCCUUCGGGUUGUAAACCGCUUUCGCCUGUGACGAAGAGUGAGUGACGGUAAUGGGUAAAGAAGCACCGGCUAACUACGUGCCAGCAGCCGCGGUGAUACGUAGGGUGCGAGCGUUGUCCGGAUUUAUUGGGCGUAAAGGGCUCGUAGGUGGUUGAUCGCGUCGGAAGUGUAAUCUUGGGGCUUAACCCUGAGCGUGCUUUCGAUACGGGUUGACUUGAGGAAGGUAGGGGAGAAUGGAAUUCCUGGUGGAGCGGUGGAAUGCGCAGAUAUCAGGAGGAACACCAGUGGCGAAGGCGGUUCUCUGGGCCUUUCCUGACGCUGAGGAGCGAAAGCGUGGGGAGCGAACAGGCUUAGAUACCCUGGUAGUCCACGCUGUAAACGGUGGGUACUAGGUGUGGGGUCCAUUCCACGGGUUCCGUGCCGUAGCUAACGCUUUAAGUACCCCGCCUGGGGAGUACGGCCGCAAGGCUAAAACUCAAAGGAAUUGACGGGGCCCCGCACAAGCGGCGGAGCAUGCGGAUUAAUUCGAUGCAACGCGUAGAACCUUACCUGGGUUUGACAUGGAUCGGGAGUGCUCAGAGAUGGGUGUGCCUCUUUUGGGGUCGGUUCACAGGUGGUGCAUGGCUGUCGUCAGCUCGUGUCGUGAGAUGUUGGGUUAAGUCCCGCAACGAGCGCAACCCUUGUUCACUGUUGCCAGCACGUUAUGGUGGGGACUCAGUGGAGACCGCCGGGGUCAACUCGGAGGAAGGUGGGGAUGACGUCAAGUCAUCAUGCCCCUUAUGUCCAGGGCUUCACGCAUGCUACAAUGGCUGGUACAGAGAGUGGCGAGCCUGUGAGGGUGAGCGAAUCUCGGAAAGCCGGUCUCAGUUCGGAUUGGGGUCUGCAACUCGACCUCAUGAAGUCGGAGUCGCUAGUAAUCGCAGAUCAGCAACGCUGCGGUGAAUACGUUCCCGGGGCU
Molecule: ribosomal RNA, 1346 nt
Filed under: uncultured bacterium
Lineage: Bacteria
Description: partial 16S ribosomal RNA
Rfam family: Bacterial small subunit ribosomal RNA
Source: RNAcentral